This 253-nucleotide ribosomal RNA is filed under the name uncultured bacterium. Its description in RNAcentral is "partial 16S ribosomal RNA". It matches the Rfam family "Bacterial small subunit ribosomal RNA", at positions 524 to 776 of the family's 1533-position model. The record is from RNAcentral.
UACGUAGGGUGCAAGCGUUAUCCGGAAUUAUUGGGCGUAAAGAGCUCGUAGGCGGUUUGUCGCGUCUGCUGUGAAAACUGGAGGCUCAACCUCCAGCCUGCAGUGGGUACCGGCAAACUAGAGUGCGGUAGGGGAGAUUGGAAUUCCUGGUGUAGCGGUGGAAUGCGCAGAUAUCAGGAGGAACACCGAUGGCGAAGGCAGAUCUCUGGGCCGUAACUGACGCUGAGGAGCGAAAGCAUGGGGAGCGAACAGG